RNAcentral lists this ribosomal RNA (1789 nucleotides) under uncultured eukaryote. RNAcentral describes it as "SSU rRNA". It matches the Rfam family "Eukaryotic small subunit ribosomal RNA". The record is from RNAcentral.
AACCUGGUUGAUCCUGCCAGUAGUCAUAUGCUUGUCUCAAAGAUUAAGCCAUGCAUGUCUCAGUAUAAGCUUUUGAAUGGCAAAACUGCGAAUGGCUCAUUAAAACAGUUAUAUUCUACUCGGUUUUGAUUCCUAUACGGAUAACUGUGCUAAUUGUAGAGCUAAUACGUGCGUAAAUCGCCGACUUCUCGGAAGGCGAGUGCUUAUUAGAUACAGAACCAAUCCUGGCAACAGGACUUCGGUUGACUCAUAAUAAACGAACGGAGCGUAUGGCUUGUGCCGGCGCUGAACCGAUCGAGUUUCUGACCUAUCAGCUUUCGUUGGUGGGGUAUUGGCCCACCAUGGCUUUGACGGGUAACGGAGAAUUAGGGUUCGAUUCCGGAGAGGGAGCCCGAGAAACGGCUACCACAUCUAAGGAUAGCAGCAGGCGCGCAAAUUACCCAAUGCCGAUACGGCGAGGUAGUGACAAGAAAUAACAACGCAAGCCCGUUGGGUUUUUGUAUUUGGAAUGAGUAGAAUUUAAAUCUCUUUACGAAUCAAUUGGAGGGCAAGUCUGGUGCCAGCAGCCGCGGUAAUUCCAGCUCCAAUAGCGUAUAUUAAAGUGUUGCGGUUAAAAAGCUCGUAGUUGGAUUUCUGUUGAGGUUGGGUGGUCCCUUCUCCGAAGGCGUAUUUGCUUCGAUCUCGGCAUCCUUCUGAAAGACUGUGCUGCCCUUCAUUGAGUGGUCAGGAUUUCAGGACUUUUACUUUGAGGAAAUUAGAGUGUUUACGGCAGGCAGGCGCCUUGAAUAUAUUAGCAUGGAAUAAUGAUAUAAGACCUUGGUUUUAUUUUGUUGGUUUCUAAAGCUAAGGUAAUGAUUAACAGGGAUAUUUGGGGGUAUUUGUAUUACACGGUCAGAGGUGGAAUUCUUGGAUUCGUGUACGACAAACUACUGCGAAAGCAUUUACCAAGGAUGUUUUCAUUGAUCAAGAACGAAAGUGUGGGGAUCGAAGAUGAUUAGAUACCGUCGUAGUCUACACCAUAAACUAUGCCGACUAGAGAUUGGAGGUUGUCUUCUUAUAACUCCUUCAGCACCUUUCGAGAAAUCAAAGUUUUUGGGUUCCGGGGGGAGUAUGGUCGCAAGGCUGGAACUUAAAGGAAUUGACGGAAGGGCACCACCAGGAGUGGAGCCUGCGGCUUAAUUUGACUCAACACGGGAAAACUUACCAGGUCCAGACAUAACGAGGAUUGACAGAUUGAUAGCUCUUUCUUGAUUUUAUGGGUGGUGGUGCAUGGCCGUUCUUAGUUGGUGGAGUGAUUUGUCUGGUUAAUUCCGUUAACGAACGAGACCUUUAUCUGCUAAAUAGCCAAAUGUAUCUUCGGAUACAUUGCCGGCUUCUUAGAGAGACUUUGUGUGUUUAAUGCAAGGAAGUUAGAGGCAAUAACAGGUCUGUGAUGCCCUUAGAUGUUCUGGGCUGCACGCGCGCUACACUGAUGCGUUCAACGAGUUUCCCUUAGCCGGUAGGCUCGGGUAAUCUUUUGAACACGCAUCGUGAUGGGGAUAGAUUAUUGUAAUUAUUAAUCUUCAACGAGGAAUUCCUAGUAGGUGCAAGUCAUCAGCUUGCAUCGAUUACGUCCCUGCCCUUUGUACACACCGCCCGUCGCUGCUACCGAUUGGUUCUACUGGUGAGUUGUCGGGACCGAGCAAUGAUUCAGUUCCUGAAACGUUGCUUGGAAACUUCCGCAAACCCUUGGAACUAGAGGAAGCAGAAGUCGUAACAAGGUUUCCGUAGGUGAACCUGCAGAAGGAUC